Aethalodelphis obliquidens (Pacific white-sided dolphin) is the source of this 2660-nucleotide long non-coding RNA. RefSeq lists it as uncharacterized. The transcript has 3 exons. Lineage: Eukaryota; Metazoa; Chordata; Mammalia; Artiodactyla; Delphinidae. The record is from RefSeq and is a predicted model, not a curated record.
GGGCGGGGCGGGGCGGGGCUGACCCCACCGACUCCGCCCCUUGGACGCCUCGCCCCUCUCGUGGAAGGCUCCGCCCCGUCUUUUAGAGGCGGUUCCUCCAGCCCACGCCCCCUAAGAGGCCCCACCCCUCCCGCUUCUCCCGCCCCAGAAACCUCGCGCCCUCCCCGCCCCUCCCCCACCACCCCGGAGCGGCUAGGUUCCUCCUCCGCAGAACCCCGCCUCCACUCACUCCUCCUCAGCCUCCAGCGCCACCUCGUAUCUCCUCAAUCCCGACAUGUCCUGGGUUCCGAACGUCUCCUGGGGAGCGGCAUGAUUGGAUCAAGGAUUCCCCAAUCCCGGAUCCCCUUCUCUGUCAUUCUCUGGACCAGUUUGACUUGUUCUCGGCUCUUCCUAGGAAGCCAAGCCUUUCUACCUCAUCUGGACAUCCCAGCCCCCAGCCCUCAGCUUAAGUGCUACCCGUCAGGCAGACGGGCUGCAGUCUCAGCUUUGCCACUCACCAGCUGAGUGGACUUGGGAGAUCACUCUACCUCUCUGUGCCUCCAUUUCCUCAUACAUAGAAUGGGACUAGUGAUCCCCACCUCGCAGGGUUGUUUGAGGAUGCAAUGAUAAUGCACGUAAAGGACUCAGCUUGGAGCCUGGCACAUGGUCAGCACCUCAAAGGAACGGUUUUCCCUGUUCUCUGAGGGCCACUUCCUCAGACCUGCACCUGCUGUACUAUUUCCCAUUUUCAUUUAGGAGGUGGAUCAACUCAGAGAGGUGGUAUGUGUGGUAGCUAAGAGUCAGAUUCUGGAGCCCGUCUGCCCAGCCAGGACCCCCAGCUCUGCCACUUUACCGGCCAUCCAGCCUGGGUUGAAACCAUAGGCUUUCAAGGUUUAUUGAAAGCCUAACUGUGUGCCCGGCGCGACGCUCGCUCGGUGCCGGAGGAUGAAGUGCUUUCACCUGGACAGGGACGGAAAACGAGUUUGUCCUGCUCAUCAGUGGACAUGGGAAAAUUCUAGACCCCUGGUCUAUCAUGAGACACAUUUGAGGACAAAUAAAGGGGGAAAAAAAAAUCCCAGAAAGAUGAAGGAAAUGAGAACAGUAGUGUUCAACCCACAAGCCUGUUUGCCUUUGGAGGACGGAGGACCGCGACGACGAUGCUGCCUCCUAGUGGCGGAGUCGGGCAAUGAGGCCAAGUGGAGUUUAACAUCCCGUCCGCUGUGGGUAUUCUGAACCGAAAUUGGCGCCGGCUGCUCAGGUAAUCACAGGUGGAGUUCGGUUAUUCAUUUAAUAUUAGAUUGAAAUUUAUUAUUAGCACAAUCCAGGACUCUAAAACAAAAGUCUUCAAGAACAUGGCAUCAGAGUUUCCCUGGGGUGUUUUUGUUUGCCACCAACUGGGAAAUGGAUUUCUUGAAGAAAAUGAAGUUUUCGGCUUCCUGACAUAGCUAGCUAACACAAUCUCUGUAGGGGAACUGCAGAAGAGCCACCGCUAGAAGAAUACCAAAUAUAGGCAUUAGAAAAAGGCUUGGCAAUUUCAACACUCAUAAAAGUCGUAAUUCAUUGAUGGCAAAGGAAAGAUACAUUGAUGAUUUUUAACAAAAUAGCAUCACUUUGUCCCCAAAUACAAGGAUAAAUAACACCUGGACAUGCAAAGAAAAAGAACUUCACAAAAGAGGUCAGUUGAAGCUGAAGACAUUUUCACAGGUAAAUGAUUAAAGCUAGGAAACAAAUUAAUUUUGAGCUUUCAUAAAUAGCAAGUAUAGACCCAGUCCCCCUGACCUUCCUGUGCCAUAAAGCUGGGCAGAAGAUGCCAAAUAUGUCAGUGGUGCUGUGCUGGUAGCCCCAUAGUACCCCAUUUUUGAAGAUGUCAAAAGAAAGAUCCUGUCAUUGGUGAUCAUGUCCCUCUAAUGACUGAUGAGUAAAGAAUGAAAUAGUGGCUAGCGAACAUGUGGCCCAGGUACCAUGGAGGGAGAGGAGUGUUAAGAAAUCUGGUUGCUCAGUUUGGAAUUAGUUUCCAGUUCAUAUGACUGAGGUUGUUAAGACAUUUCUAUUAGCUGUAAUUCUGGGAGCUCUUACUAGCCCCAUCCAUCCUUUACAUUUGUGUUAAAGAGGCCCUUAAAGGAUUUACAAAGAAGGAGUGAGCCAGGGGAAGCAGAAGGCUUCAGACUUCGAGGCAACACUGACAAGAGGGAGCUGGCCCACCAUUUCGUAAUUGUGUGUGGGUGUGUUAUCAUUUCAUGGAAGAGAUAGUGCUGAAAUCAUUUGAAAACAUGGUAUUAGUAAUUUUCUGAAUGGCACUGAGGGUGACAUUGUUAGAAGAUAGUAAUUACUGUUAAAGGAAAUUCCAGGGGUUACAGUGAGUUUUCAUGUUUGUUUGAUGAUGGUUUUGUAAAUUUGGGGGAUGACUGAUCUUUGGAAUUUUUUUCUUUUCACAUUUCUAGUAAAAGCCAUUAAUUGUCUUUCUGUUGAACACUGGCAGACUAGUAUUCAGUAAAAUAUUUCUUUUUACUGUAUGCAUGAGCAUCAAUUUGGAAGUCCUCCAACUUUAUAAUUUCAUUUUAUGCUUUAUACUUAUUUUUACUGAAAUAUUUACUUAUCUAAACAGCAAUCUUCUGGAAAGUUACUUUUAUCUCCCCUCCCAUUCGGGUCUUUGUGAUUUGAUGCCUUUACAAAUGUAUACA